Molecule: ribosomal RNA, 467 nt
Filed under: uncultured bacterium
Lineage: Bacteria
Description: partial 16S ribosomal RNA
Rfam family: Bacterial small subunit ribosomal RNA
Source: RNAcentral
GACGAACGCUGGCGGCGUGCUUAACACAUGCAAGUCGAACGGAAAGGCCCUGCUUUUGUGGGGUGCUCGAGUGGCGAACGGGUGAGUAACACGUGAGUAACCUGCCCUUGACUUUGGGAUAACUUCAGGAAACUGGGGCUAAUACCGGAUAGGAGCUCCUGCUGCAUGGUGGGGGUUGGAAAGUUUCGGCGGUUGGGGAUGGACUCGCGGCUUAUCAGCUUGUUGGUGGGGUAGUGGCUUACCAAGGCUUUGACGGGUAGCCGGCCUGAGAGGGUGACCGGCCACAUUGGGACUGAGAGACGGCCCAGACGCCUACGGGAGGCAGGAGUGGGGAAUAUUGCACAAUGGGCGGAAGCCUGAAGCAGCAACGCCGCGUGCGGGAUGACGGCCUUCGGGUUGGAAACCGCUUUCGCCUGUGACGAAGCGUGAGUGACGGUAAUGGGUAAGAAGCACCGGCUAACUACGUG